AGAGCUCGGUUUGAUCAAAGUUACUGCAUAACCAAAACAACUCUGUGUUAGAAUCCACAUUAUAAAAGCAUUUUCAAAAAAUUCGUAUACAUAUAAAAUAGACCGAUACUUACAUUUAUGGUCAUAUAACCAUGCUUGCUUCGAGAGGAGUCCGUACUUCCACUCCUCCUUGGGGAAAUUGUCAAAAGUUCCAUCAUUUCUAUUUCUGUUUCUUCAGAAAUGUCUCCAAAGUCAGCAGAGAUCUUCUCGUCAGUGGCCCAGUUCGGUAGGGAAGAGAUUUCGAGGCCUUUGACGUAGAACCACUUUUCAUGCCAGCCCCUGUUGCUCGAAGGCGUGUUCACCAGCGAACGCCUCUCGAACUUCUCUCCUGACUUCGGAGAAUGCUUGCUAAUGGCCUUGAACCCCUUCUCCCUAGAUUGUACUAUUUUGUAUACUGUGAAGAAGAAGUCCAGGGAGGGCUCCACGCCCAAUUCGUGACAGAAGGCUACGAAGGCCAAGAUGUGAAUGUAUGAGUUUGGUACUAGUUGGGCGAACCCCACCCCCAGAAACCCCAGCAAGGUUACUAUGAAGAUAUGCAAAGGGAAAUGAA
This 589-nucleotide long non-coding RNA is filed under the name Panax ginseng (ginseng). Its description in RNAcentral is "long non-coding RNA (PGIN_LNC014342)". Lineage: Eukaryota; Viridiplantae; Streptophyta; Magnoliopsida; Apiales; Araliaceae. The record is from RNAcentral.